Molecule: transfer RNA, 78 nt
Filed under: bacterium
Lineage: Bacteria
Description: tRNA-Arg
Rfam family: tRNA
About the family: Transfer RNA (tRNA) molecules are approximately 80 nucleotides in length. Their secondary structure includes four short double-helical elements and three loops (D, anti-codon, and T loops).
Source: RNAcentral
GCGCUUGUAGCUCAGUUGGAAUAGAGCGUCUGACUACGGAUCAGAAGGCCGGGGGUUCGAGUCCCUCCAAGCGCGCCA